Molecule: long non-coding RNA, 479 nt
Filed under: Papio anubis (olive baboon)
Lineage: Eukaryota; Metazoa; Chordata; Mammalia; Primates; Cercopithecidae
Description: lncRNA (ENSPANG00000037187.1)
Source: RNAcentral
GUGAUGGUGAUUUUCGACUCAUUCCCGUUACAAACAGCCGACCUUCCUACCGAGUUCAAGUACCUUCUGCCUGGCCUGGAAGAACCGUAUCUCUCUGUCACCCUCUUCCACUGGCCCUCACCUGCCCUCCCCUGAACAUGCAUUUUGCCUGAGAGGAGGCAGAGGCGGUUGAGAUGGAGUCUUGCUAUAUGGCCCAGCUGGUAAUGCCUAGAUUCUUGAGUCCCUCCCUGGCUCAUCCCUGGGAGAAGCACCGAACCCCAUGUCUGACACCUGUCCAGAAAUGGAGCCUGCACAUUGACUGUAGAUUCCUUGGCAGUGCCUGGAGAAGACCAGGAGAGGAAGCAGAAUACCCUCCUCAAAGAAGCGGACUUCACCUCCAGACCUCCCAGCGGGACUCAGACAAUGGGGCUAGGCAGUCACAUGCCUGCACGUGGAAAGUUUCUGGGACUGCGCUUGGAUCCCAGCUCUGCCUUUACUAG